RNAcentral lists this transfer RNA (85 nucleotides) under Korthalsia cheb. RNAcentral describes it as "tRNA-Tyr". Lineage: Eukaryota; Viridiplantae; Streptophyta; Magnoliopsida; Arecales; Arecaceae. The record is from RNAcentral.
UGGGUCGAGCUGGAUUUGAACCAGCGUAGACAUAUCGUCAACGAAUUUACAGUCCGUCCCCAUUAACCGCUCGGGCAUCGACCCA